This 657-nucleotide unclassified non-coding RNA is filed under the name Hevea brasiliensis (rubber tree). Lineage: Eukaryota; Viridiplantae; Streptophyta; Magnoliopsida; Malpighiales; Euphorbiaceae. The record is from RNAcentral.
AGCACCAGAAUCAAUGACCCAUUUAGAGGAGACAAGGCAUAUAGUACAUUUACGUGACUCAGCUAUUGUAGUGACUGGGGAAUUAGAGGACUUUAGAGGCCUGAUACUGUGAGAACUGUGCAUAUUCUUCAGCAGAUACUAAAACUGUUUCUCAGAAGGAGCUAUUGAAGAGUCAUCAACUACUAUGUUGGCCAUCCGAGAUCAUGGGUUCUUAUUCUGAAGUUUCAGACAAUAUCUUCUUGUAUGACCUGGCUUAUGGCAAUAAUAUCUUCCCUCAUCCAAGUUUGCUUUGUAUCAUCAGUAGGUGGAUCUUGGGUGAGAUGAUCAUCAUUGUCGAUACUCCGCAAAUAAACCCGAGCAGUCUUACUCCAUUCCAAAUAAUUAGAACCAUUAAGUUUGUGUUCCAUGAUUUUAGUCAUCAUAGGAAUCACAUCAGUUACUACACUUUUGCUUUGCAGCCAUUUUAAAAAGAGACGUUGAGCAACAAGCCAAAAAAAAAUAAAAAAAAUUCACGGCAGCAAGUCACAGAAAUCUCUUACCCAAACUAAUAGGCACACCUCUAUAGACAGCGAAAACGCCUUAAGACACAAUUUUAAAGUAGAUGAGUGUAACAAAAGCAAGAGAUAUACUUGGCAGUAGGUGGACCAAGACAAAUCA